Molecule: long non-coding RNA, 770 nt
Filed under: Canis lupus familiaris (dog)
Lineage: Eukaryota; Metazoa; Chordata; Mammalia; Carnivora; Canidae
Description: lncRNA (ENSCAFG00845010498.1)
Source: RNAcentral
UAUAUAUACAUUAUUGCCUUUAAUGUUCAUCUUAUCCCAAUUUUACAGAUAAGGGAUUGAGACACAGAAAUUAAAUGACAGGCCAAGCCUGCAGAGCUCAUAAAUGGCAGACGUGGGAUGUUCUCUUAUGCACUAGGCAAGGGAUGCUAUGGAAUCAGUUCCUAUCCCCAGAGAAUUGGCUACCUGGUGCAUAUGAAAAACCUACAAAGGAACAGGAGAUAAUCAAACCAGUAUUCAAAGAAGGAAGCUGCAUGUUGCAAUUCUCUCCCCAGGUCCCCAGCCAUCUUCUGUUGGGAAUUGUGCUUCUAGUUUACACUGCUGAUGCUUUCCUACAUUUUAAGAAGUUUUUUUCUUUAUCUCUAAGGUAAAUUACCUCCUUGAUCAAUUUUCUGCAAAGUUUUAUUACAUGUUCUUUUUUUUUUUUUAAGACUUAUUCAUUUUAGAAAUAUUGAGAGAGAGGGAGAGAGAGAGAGAAUGCAUGCAUGCGAAUGUGGGAGGGACAGAGGGAGAAGGAGAGAGAAACCUAAGCAGACUCUGUGCUAAGCAUGGAGCCAGAUGCAAGGGUCGAUCCCAGGACCCUGAGAUCAUGACUGAGAUGAAAUCAAGAGACUUUAAGACAUUUUCUGAUGCGAGUUUUUAGGCAUUUGAGGGAUUUUGAUUCAUCUGCAAAGUAGCCACAUGUCUGUCCUUGAAGGUGAGCUUUUAUUACUCCGUGACAUGAAAUAAAAGUUUAAGUGUCUCACUUUUCUAUUAUUUGUCAGGAAGGUCUC